UGGGGAAUUUUGGACAAUGGGCGAAAGCCUGAUCCAGCAAUGCCGCGUGUGUGAAGAAGGCCUUCGGGUUGUAAAGCACUUUUGUCCGGAAAGAAAUCCUUGGCUCUAAUACAGUCGGGGGAUGACGGUACCGGAAGAGUAAGCACCGGCUAACUACGUGCCAGCAGCCGCGGUAAUACGUAGGGUGCAAGCGUUAAUCGGAAUUACUGGGCGUAAAGCGUGCGCAGGCGGUUUGCUAAGACCGAUGUGAAAUCCCCGGGCUCAACCUGGGAACUGCAUUGGUGACUGGCAGGCUAGAGUAUGGCAGAGGGGGGUAGAAUUCCACGUGUAGCAGUGAAAUGCGUAGAGAUGUGGAGGAAUACCGAUGGCGAAGGCAGCCCCCUGGGCCAAUACUGACGCUCAUGCACGAAAGCGUGGGGAGCAAAACAGGAUUAGAUACCCUGGUAGUCCACGCCCUAAACGAUGUCAACUAGUUGUUGGGGAUUCAUUUCCUUAGUAACGUAGCUAACGCGUGAAGUUGACCGCCUGGGGAGUACGGUCGCAAG
RNAcentral lists this ribosomal RNA (545 nucleotides) under uncultured bacterium. RNAcentral's name for it is "partial 16S ribosomal RNA". It matches the Rfam family "Bacterial small subunit ribosomal RNA", at positions 355 to 892 of the family's 1533-position model. The record is from RNAcentral.